GGAUGAACGCUGGCGGCGUGCCUACUACAUGCAAGUCGAGCGAACGGACGAGAAGCUUGCUUCUCUGAUGUUAGCGGCGGACGGGUGAGUAACACGUGGAUAACCUACCUAUAAGACUGGGAUAACUUCGGGAAACCGGAGCUAAUACCGGAUGAUAUUUUGAACCGCAUGGUUCAAAAGUGAAAGACGGUCUUGCUGUCACUUAUAGAUGGAUCCGCGCUGCAUUAGCUAGUUGGUAAGGUAACGGCUUACCAAGGCAACGAUGCAUAGCCGACCUGAGAGGGUGAUCGGCCACACUGGAACUGAGACACGGUCCAGACUCCUACGGGAGGCAGCAGUAGGGAAUCUUCCGCAAUGGGCGAAAGCCUGACGGAGCAACGCCGCGUGAGUGAUGAAGGUCUUCGGAUCGUAAAACUCUGUUAUUAGGGAAGAACAUAUGUGUAAGUAACUGUGCACAUCUUGACGGUACCUAAUCAGAAAGCCACGGCUAACUACGUG
RNAcentral lists this ribosomal RNA (498 nucleotides) under uncultured bacterium. Its description in RNAcentral is "partial 16S ribosomal RNA". It matches the Rfam family "Bacterial small subunit ribosomal RNA", at positions 27 to 507 of the family's 1533-position model. The record is from RNAcentral.